CCUGCCCUUCAGAGGGGGACAACAGUUGGAAACGACUGCUAAUACCGCAUACGAUCUAACCUCGGCAUCGAGGAUAGAUGAAAGGUGGCCUCUAUUUAUAAGCUAUCACUGAAGGAGGGGAUUGCGUCUGAUUAGCUAGUUGGAGGGGUAACGGCCCACCAAGGCGAUGAUCAGUAGCCGGUCUGAGAGGAUGAACGGCCACAUUGGGACUGAGACACGGCCCAG
This 225-nucleotide ribosomal RNA is filed under the name uncultured bacterium. RNAcentral's name for it is "partial 16S ribosomal RNA". It matches the Rfam family "Bacterial small subunit ribosomal RNA", at positions 125 to 334 of the family's 1533-position model. The record is from RNAcentral.